RNAcentral lists this ribosomal RNA (2855 nucleotides) under Moraxella cuniculi. RNAcentral describes it as "23S ribosomal RNA". It matches the Rfam family "Bacterial large subunit ribosomal RNA". Lineage: Bacteria; Pseudomonadati; Pseudomonadota; Gammaproteobacteria; Moraxellales; Moraxellaceae. The record is from RNAcentral.
UCAAGUAAUGAAGUGCACAUGGUGGAUGCCUUGGCAGUCAGAGGCGAUGAAAGACGUGAUAGCCUGCGAUAAGCGUCGGUGAGGUGGCAAUAUCCUGUGACCCGGCGAUUUCUGAAUGGGGAAACCCACCUAAGAUAACUUAGGUAUCAUAAUUUAUUUUAUGAGGCGAACCGGGAGAAGUGAAACAUCUCAGUACCCCGAGGAAAAGACAUCAAUUGAGAUUCCCCAAGUAGCGGCGAGCGAACGGGGAGUAGCCGAUUAGAUUUGUAGUAGCAAAAUGGCGUGGGAAAGCCAACCAUAGUAGGUGAUAGUCCUGUAUGCGAAACUGCAAUUUUAACAUAUUAAGUAGGGCGGAACACGAGAAAUUCUGUCUGAAGAUGGGGGGACCAUCCUCCAAGGCUAAAUACUCCUGACUGACCGAUAGUGAACCAGUACCGUGAGGGAAAGGCGAAAAGAACCCCUGUUAGGGGAGUGAAAUAGAACCUGAAACCGUGUGCAUACAAGCAGUCGGAGCGGACUUGUUCCGUGACGGCGUACCUUUUGUAUAAUGGGUCAGCGACUUAUAUUCUGUAGCAAGCUUAACCGUGUAGGGGAGGCGUAGGGAAACCGAGUCUUAAUAGGGCGUUUUAGUUGCAGGGUAUAGACCCGAAACCGAGUGAUCUAUCCAUGAGCAGGUUGAAAGUGCCGUAACAGGCACCGGAGGACCGAACCCACUCCCGUUGAAAAGGUAGGGGAUGACUUGUGGAUAGGGGUGAAAGGCUAAUCAAACUCGGUGAUAGCUGGUUCUCCCCGAAAGCUAUUUAGGUAGCGCCUCGGACGAAUACCUUGGGGGGUAGAGCACUGUUUCGGCUAGGGGGUCAUCCCGACUUACCAAACCGAUGCAAACUCCGAAUACCCAAGAGUACUAUCCGGGAGACAGACGGCGGGUGCUAACGUCCGUCGUCAAGAGGGAAACAACCCAGACCGCCAGCUAAGGCCCCAAAUUCCUAGUUAAGUGGGAAACGAUGUGGGAAGGCACAGACAGCUAGGAGGUUGGCUUAGAAGCAGCCACCCUUUAAAGAAAGCGUAAUAGCUCACUAGUCGAGUCGGCCUGCGCGGAAGAUGUAACGGGGCUCAAACUAGGAGCCGAAGCUGCGGAUUUAAUUGUUUCAAUUAAGUGGUAGGGGAGCGUUGUGUAAGCCUGUGAAGGUGUAUUGUAAGGUAUGCUGGAGGUAUCACAAGAGCGAAUGCUGACGUGAGUAACGACAAAACGGGUGAAAAGCCCGUUCGCCGGAAGACCAAGGGUUCCAGUCCAACGUUAAUCGGGGCUGGGUGAGUCGACCCCUAAGGCGAGGCCGAAAGGCGUAGUCGAUGGGAAAUCGGUUAAUAUUCCGAUACUUGUUUAUGAUGCGAUGGAGGGACGGAGAAGGUUAUGUCAGCCUGGCGUUGGUUGUCCAGGUGGAAGGAUGUAGGUAGGUUUAGUAGGCAAAUCCGCUAGACUAUUACUGAGAUCUGAUAGCAAGCCAGUUUACUGGCGAAGUGGCAAAUACCCUGCUUCCAGGAAAAGCUUCUAAGCGAUAGUCAUAAACAAAUCGUACCCGAAACCGACACAGGUGGUCAGGUAGAGAAUACCAAGGCGCUUGAGAGAACUCUGCUGAAGGAACUAGGCAAAAUGGUACCGUAACUUCGGGAGAAGGUACGCUGCUGAUGGUGAUAAGACUUGCUCUUUGAGCUGUUGGCAGUCGCAGAUACCAGGCUGCUGCAACUGUUUAUUAAAAACACAGCACUCUGCAAACACGAAAGUGGACGUAUAGGGUGUGAUGCCUGCCCGGUGCUGGAAGGUUAAUUGAUGGGGUUAGCGUAUGCGAAGCUCUUGAUCGAAGCCCCAGUAAACGGCGGCCGUAACUAUAACGGUCCUAAGGUAGCGAAAUUCCUUGUCGGGUAAGUUCCGACCUGCACGAAUGGCAUAAUGAUGGCAGCGCUGUCUCCAGCAGAGACUCAGUGAAAUCGAAAUCGCAGUGAAGAUGCUGUGUACCCGCGGCUAGACGGAAAGACCCCGUGAACCUUUACUACAGCUUUACAUUGAACUUUGACCUAACUUGUGUAGGAUAGGUGGGAGGCUUUGAAGUGGCGACGCCAGUUGCCAUGGAGCCAACCUUGAAAUACCACCCUGGUUAUGUUGGGGUUCUAACUUAGAUGUAACAACAUCAAGGACAAUGUAUGGUGGGUAGUUUGACUGGGGCGGUCUCCUCCUAAAGAGUAACGGAGGAGUACGAAGGUGCGCUCAGAACGGUCGGAAAUCGUUCAAAGAGUAUAAAGGCAAAAGCGCGCUUAACUGUGAGACCCACAAGUCGAGCAGGUACGAAAGUAGGUCUUAGUGAUCCGGUGGUUCUGUAUGGAAGGGCCAUCGCUCAACGGAUAAAAGGUACUCUGGGGAUAACAGGCUGAUACCGCCCAAGAGUUCAUAUCGACGGCGGUGUUUGGCACCUCGAUGUCGGCUCAUCUCAUCCUGGGGCUGAAGCAGGUCCCAAGGGUAUGGCUGUUCGCCAUUUAAAGAGGUACGCGAGCUGGGUUUAGAACGUCGUGAGACAGUUCGGUCCCUAUCUACCGUGGGCGUUGGAAAUUUGAGAGGAUCUGCUCCUAGUACGAGAGGACCAGAGUGGACGAACCUCUGGUGUUCCGGUUGUUACGCCAGUAGCACUGCCGGGUAGCUAUGUUCGGAUGGGAUAACCGCUGAAAGCAUCUAAGCGGGAAGCCCACCUCAAGAUAAGAUUUCCCUAAAGAGCCGUUGUAGACUACGACGUUGAUAGGUUGGGUGUGGAAGUGUAGUGAUACAUGUAGCUAACCAAUACUAAUUGCUCGUUUGGCUUGACCAU